UGGGGAAUAUUGCACAAUGGGCGAAAGCCUGAUGCAGCGACGCCGCGUGAGGGAUGACGGCCUUCGGGUUGUAAACCUCUUUCAGUACCGACGAAGCGAAAGUGACGGUAGGUACAGAAGAAGCACCGGCCAACUACGUGCCAGCAGCCGCGGUAAUACGUAGGGUGCAAGCGUUGUCCGGAAUUAUUGGGCGUAAAGAGCUCGUAGGCGGCUUGUCGCGUCGGCUGUGAAAACCUGGGGCUCAACCCCGGGCCUGCAGCCGAUACGGGCAAGCUAGAAUUCGGUAGGGGAGACUGGAAUUCCUGGUGUAGCGGUGAAAUGCGCAGAUAUCAGGAGGAACACCGGUGGCGAAGGCGGGUCUCUGGGCCGAUAUUGACGCUGAGGAGCGAAAGCGUGGGGAGCGAACAG
Molecule: ribosomal RNA, 408 nt
Filed under: uncultured bacterium
Lineage: Bacteria
Description: bacterial SSU rRNA
Rfam family: Bacterial small subunit ribosomal RNA
Source: RNAcentral